CUCGUAGGCGGCUUGUCGCGUCGACUGUGAAAACCCACAGCUCAACUGUGGGCUUGCAGCCGAUACGGGCAGGCUAGAGUUCGGUAGGGGAGACUGGAAUUCCUGGUGUAGCGGUGAAAUGCGCAGAUAUCAGGAGGAACACCGGUGGCGAAGGCGGGUCUCUGGGCCGAUACUGACGCUGAGGAGCGAAAGCGUGGGGAGCGAACA
RNAcentral lists this ribosomal RNA (207 nucleotides) under uncultured bacterium. Its description in RNAcentral is "partial 16S ribosomal RNA". It matches the Rfam family "Bacterial small subunit ribosomal RNA", at positions 568 to 774 of the family's 1533-position model. The record is from RNAcentral.